AAACCUUGAGAGUGUCCUUGUAUCUUUGCUUCUGACAGUACAUGUAAAUUGAAAGAAAAAAUAUAAAUUUUCUAAUGACCACAACUAUGUACUAAUAGGGUAGGUGUACCUUUUGAACACUGUACAAUUUCUCAAAUCUUGGAAUCAGAUUGGAUACUGUAGUAAGGGAUUUUAGCAGGAGCCACAACACAGCAAGAGAUCCUGUAACCAACAUUCCACACAGAACUCUCAGAAGCUGGGGGACUGAAAGUCUGAGGCAGUUGCUCCACAGAGUUGCCCUGAGCACUCCACAGUGCCUUGCUGCAUCGCCCUCUCAGCCGUUGAACCUUCUUGUUGGUUUCUUCCCUCUGUUCAACAGAAGCAGUCUUCACAUGCUGGGAAGACUGAGGUCAUUAAAGAAAUUAUGCAUCAAUCCAGUUCUUGUUCUUGUUCAACAGUGGCCCCAACUCACUAUCCAUUUGAAUUGUCUGAUGGAAUACUGAUAGACAAGCUCUUUAGGUUAUCAGUCCAAGAGCAUAUUAGAAUCUGAGCAACAGACAUUCUUCAAACAUUUUGUCUUUCCUGUUCGGGUGAGAUGUGGAUGAACUAUGCCUCUUAUUCCCUUGAAGAUUCUUAAAGCAAACAUAAAAACAAACCACGUUGUCUCUUGGUGGAUGAGAUCUAAGGAAACCCAUCAUGAUCAAAGAAAAACUAUUUUCUUCAAAUCACGUCACUAAUUUUCAUAAUUUGUAAUGGUAGUUUGCACAGAAACAACACUGAAAAGAAAUGAUGCAUCAUAAAAAUAUAUUAUCCAGAUGGUUUUGAUUUAAUAACAUAGCAACAAACUCAAACAGGCAUUUUGCCUUAUCCCAAAUAGAAAGCACAAGACAUUAAAAUGUCAUCAUAGAUGUUAGAGACAGAAAAACAGUAUGAAGAAUAAAAAAUGGAGACUGUGUGCAACAUUAAUUUCACUUUAUGCAACGUUUAGAAACAGUAUAAAGUAUCAAUAAUUUAUGAAGGAAAUGUGCAAGGCUUAAAUUUGAAAAAAAUCCUGAUUUUUAUUAUUGGGUUGUAAUAAUAAUGACUGCCCUUCAGGUCCUUUUACUAGGAUUUUGUCAGAAAUCUAUUUUUAAAGAACCCCUAGAUCCAUCAAAUCGAAUAUAUUGUUUUAUAAACAGUAAAUGUCAUGGAACUGGCUGAGAAAUUACUUAUUAGAUUGAAGUUGAUACUUAUUCAGAAACAUUUUUCAUCUUUCCUUAGGAUCCUUGGGUAAAUAUUUAGGGAAAAGGCAUGAUUUCUUAAAACACUAUAUUAAUGACUGACCUUAGAAUCUAUAAGUUGACUUCUCAUGGUCUUCUAUGUCAAGAAUAAACUUCUUAUUUCCCA
Non-coding RNA from Monodelphis domestica (gray short-tailed opossum), 1365 nucleotides. The record is from RefSeq and is a predicted model, not a curated record. NCBI's taxonomy places the organism in Eukaryota, Metazoa, Chordata, Mammalia, Didelphimorphia, Didelphidae.